AUACGUAGGUGACAAGCGUUAUCCGGAUUUACUGGGCGUAAAGGGCGUGUAGGCGGUCUUGCAAGUCAGAAGUGAAAUUCCUGAGCUCAACUCGGGCGCUGCUUCUGAAACUGCAGGACUUGAGUGCUGGAGGGGAUAGUGGAAUUCCUAGUGGAGCGGUAAAAUGCGCAGAUAUUAGGAAGAACACCGGUGGGGAAGGCGGCUAUCUGGACAGUAACUGACGCUGAGGCGCGAAAGCGUGGGGAGCAAACAGGAUUAGAUACCCUGGUAGUCCACACUGUAAACGAUGAAUGCUAGGUGUAGGGGGUAUCGACCCCUUCUGUGCCGCAGUCAACACAAUAAGCAUUCCGCCUGGGGAGUACGGCCGCAAGGUUGAAACUCAAAUGAAUUGACGGGG
This 397-nucleotide ribosomal RNA is filed under the name uncultured bacterium. RNAcentral describes it as "partial 16S ribosomal RNA". It matches the Rfam family "Bacterial small subunit ribosomal RNA", at positions 523 to 918 of the family's 1533-position model. The record is from RNAcentral.